AGUGAACGCUGGCGGUAGGCCUAACACAUGCAAGUCGAACGGCAGCACAGUAAGAGCUUGCUCUUACGGGUGGCGAGUGGCGGACGGGUGAGGAAUACAUCGGAAUCUACUUUUUCGUGGGGGAUAACGUAGGGAAACUUACGCUAAUACCGCAUACGACCUACGGGUGAAAGCAGGGGAUCUUCGGACCUUGCGCGAUUGAAUGAGCCGAUGUCGGAUUAGCUAGUUGGCGGGGUAAAGGCCCACCAAGGCGACGAUCCGUAGCUGGUCUGAGAGGAUGAUCGGCAACACUGGAACUGAGACACGGUCAAGACUCCUACGGGAGGCAGCAGUGGGGAAUAUUGGACAAUGGGCGCAAGCCUGAUCCAGCCAUACCGCGUGGGUGAAGAAGGCCUUCGGGUUGUAAAGCCCUUUUGUUGGGAAAGAAAAGCAGCAGGUUAAUACCCCGCUGUUCUGACGGUACCCAAAGAAUAAGCACCGGCUAACUUCGUG
RNAcentral lists this ribosomal RNA (492 nucleotides) under uncultured bacterium. RNAcentral describes it as "partial 16S ribosomal RNA". It matches the Rfam family "Bacterial small subunit ribosomal RNA", at positions 29 to 507 of the family's 1533-position model. The record is from RNAcentral.